RNAcentral lists this long non-coding RNA (422 nucleotides) under Phoenix dactylifera (date palm). RNAcentral's name for it is "long non-coding RNA (PDAC_LNC000125)". Lineage: Eukaryota; Viridiplantae; Streptophyta; Magnoliopsida; Arecales; Arecaceae. The record is from RNAcentral.
AGUGGUUUCGGCCAGGAUGAGAAGUCCCAAGGUCGCGGAGACCUUAGGGCUCCUCUGUAAACAGCAUCCCCUCUCCUCUGUAAACAGCGUCCCGACAUCACUCCAAAUCCGACAUCUAAAGGAUUGUAUAUUUGCAUAUGUCGUAGAGCUGUAUUUGGUCUUACCUUCAACUUCCAGUGUUAUUUCAUUGCGACGUGCAAAAGGGAGUGUAAACAGGGGGUUAAACUGCAGAAGAACAGAGCAGGUGAAAUCCACAAUCAGAACUCCCCCAUGAAUUCAUUCACUCCUACAAAAACAUGUUAAUGAAAUUUUACCUGUAUAUUUCAAAAAAAGAAAAGGAAGCUUCUACCUGUGCAACUUCUACUAAUGCAUCCUCUUUCACUUGGAAUUGAGUAUCGCUUCUUGGAGCUUCAAGCAAUUUG